UAUUCUUAUAUCGUAUUCACUCAUAUAAUAGCGAAAAUAUGGUUCGCAAGUUUCUACCGGUUUGCCUUAAACAAGCCGACUAUGAGUGGCAAUGAAGAAAAA
RNAcentral lists this non-coding RNA (102 nucleotides) under Virgibacillus sp. RNAcentral describes it as "Guanine sequence". It matches the Rfam family "Purine riboswitch aptamer". From Rfam's summary of the family: Riboswitches are metabolite binding domains within certain messenger RNAs that serve as precision sensors for their corresponding targets. Allosteric rearrangement of mRNA structure is mediated by ligand binding, and this results in modulation of gene expression. Lineage: Bacteria; Bacillati; Bacillota; Bacilli; Caryophanales; Bacillaceae. The record is from RNAcentral. RNAcentral also lists the same sequence under 1 other name.